This 497-nucleotide ribosomal RNA is filed under the name uncultured bacterium. RNAcentral's name for it is "partial 16S ribosomal RNA". It matches the Rfam family "Bacterial small subunit ribosomal RNA", at positions 28 to 507 of the family's 1533-position model. The record is from RNAcentral.
GAUGAACGCUGGCGGCGUGCCUAAUACAUGCCAGUCGAGCGAACAGAUGAGGAGCUUGCUCCUCUGACGUUAGCGGCGGACGGGUGAGUAACACGUGGAUAACCUACCUAUAAGACUGGGAUAACUUCGGGAAACCGGAGCUAAUACCGGAUAAUAUAUUGAACCGCAUGGUUCAAUAGUGAAAGACGGUUUUGCUGACACUUAUAGAUGGAUCCGCGCCGCAUUAGCUAGUUGGUAAGGUAACGGCUUACCAAGGCGACGAUGCGUAGCCGACCUGAGAGGGUGAUCGGCCACACUGGAACUGAGACACGGUCCAGACUCCUACGGGAGGCAGCAGUAGGGAAUCUUCCGCAAUGGGCGAAAGCCUGACGGAGCAACGCCGCGUGAGUGAUGAAGGUCUUCGGAUCGUAAAACUCUGUUAUUAGGGAAGAACAAAUGUGUAAGUAACUAUGCACGUCUUGACGGUACCUAAUCAGAAAGCCACGGCUAACUACGUG